RNAcentral lists this transfer RNA (85 nucleotides) under Candidatus Magasanikbacteria bacterium CG10_big_fil_rev_8_21_14_0_10_43_6. RNAcentral's name for it is "tRNA-Leu". It matches the Rfam family "tRNA". From Rfam's summary of the family: Transfer RNA (tRNA) molecules are approximately 80 nucleotides in length. Their secondary structure includes four short double-helical elements and three loops (D, anti-codon, and T loops). RNAcentral also lists the same sequence under 1 other name. Lineage: Bacteria; Candidatus Magasanikiibacteriota. The record is from RNAcentral.
GCCCGGAUGGCGGAAUUGGUAGACGCGCACGACUCAAAAUCGUGUUCCUUCGGGAGUGAGAGUUCGAUUCUCUCUCUGGGCACCA